UGGGGAAUAUUGGGCAAUGGGCGAAAGCCUGACCCAGCGACGCCGCGUGGGUGAUUAAGGCCUUCGGGUUGUAAAGCCCUUUCGUGUGGAAAGAAUUGCUCUGUGACGAAUAAUCGCAGAGUUUGACGGUACCACAGGAAGAAGCACCGGCUAACUCCGUGCCAGCAGCCGCGGUAAUACGGAGGGUGCAAGCGUUGUUCGGAAUUACUGGGUGUAAAGGGCGCGUAGGCGGUUGUGUAAGUCAGAUGUGAAAUCCUUAGGCUUAACCUGAGAACUGCAUCUGAUACUGCGCAACUAGAGUACAGGAGAGGGAAAUGGAAUUCCCGGUGUAGAGGUGAAAUUCGUAGAUAUCGGGAGGAAUACCGGUGGCGAAGGCGACUUUCUGGCUGAAUACUGACGCUGAGGCGCGAAAGCGUGGGGAGCAAACA
RNAcentral lists this ribosomal RNA (428 nucleotides) under uncultured prokaryote. Its description in RNAcentral is "bacterial SSU rRNA". It matches the Rfam family "Bacterial small subunit ribosomal RNA", at positions 355 to 774 of the family's 1533-position model. The record is from RNAcentral.